This 250-nucleotide microRNA precursor is filed under the name Oryza sativa (Asian cultivated rice). Its description in RNAcentral is "partial microRNA MIR438p-6 precursor". The stretch from base 29 to 231 matches the Rfam family "MIR812 microRNA precursor family". The record is from RNAcentral. Lineage: Eukaryota; Viridiplantae; Streptophyta; Magnoliopsida; Poales; Poaceae.
AAGGAUACUCCCUCCAUCUUAUAAAAAAAAAAAGUCAAAACGUGGGUUCCUGUGCCAACGUUUGACUAUCCGUCUUAUAUGAAUUUUUUUAUAAUUAGUAUUUUCAUUGUUGUUAGAUGAUAAAAUAUGAUUAAUACUUUAUGCGUGACUUAUCUUUUUAAUUUUUUCAUAACUUUUUCAAAUAAGACGAACGGUUAAACGUUGGACACGAAAACUAGGGUUUGUCUUUUUUUUGGGACGGAGGGAGUAA